UUGUCAGCAAAAAGACCAUACUUUCUAUAAGUAUACACUUUAGUUUUGCUUUGCUUCUGUUUAAAGUUAAUGUAAAUUUUUUUCUGUACAGCAAUUAGAUUUGGCAAUAUCGUUAAAUGCCUUUUGAAAUGAAAGCAAUAAAGUUUACCAAUUUUUUUAUGACAGUGCUUCCAUUGAAUCAAGGAGGGAAUGGAGUCAAAAUGGACUUUGACUGGAUGAUUGAUCACUUUCUUGAUUGAAGUGUGAGAUUGUUUUGAAAACCUGAGAGACACGAAUAAAAAUUUUACUUGAAGAAGCACAUGACUGGAAACUUUCCACUCCAUGCAAGCCAAUACCGCAGAAGAUGUUGGAGUUCCAUUGGGUCUGCAGCACUUACAAAUGGCUCAUCUGCAAGGUUGAAUUUUGAUACCUGUUAUACAAAGUUAAUUUCAGGAAUU
Molecule: long non-coding RNA, 437 nt
Organism: Rosa chinensis
Lineage: Eukaryota; Viridiplantae; Streptophyta; Magnoliopsida; Rosales; Rosaceae
Exons: 3
Source: RefSeq, a predicted model, not a curated record